Molecule: non-coding RNA, 1021 nt
Organism: Heterocephalus glaber (naked mole-rat)
Lineage: Eukaryota; Metazoa; Chordata; Mammalia; Rodentia; Bathyergidae
Source: RefSeq, a predicted model, not a curated record
GUACACACUCAUAAGUAUGAAACUCAAGAGUUACGGCAGAGAGGAGAGAGGCCACCUGAGGUCACCGGGUCUAGGAAGCUGAGGAAGCCUGAAGAUUUGGGGGCCCUGGAGAGAUGCUGGAAACCAGCACUGUGAUUAAUGGGAAACACUUGAGACAUUCCAGCUAAAGUCAGGAAGAUCUGACUUUGAAAAGUCAGCCCACCAUCACCAUUCCACCUUGACUUUUCCAUGGAGAUGCUGUCACAGAAGUUACUCCAGAAGGAAGAACAAUGAUUUCAGAAAGAAGUAAUGGGUUACAAGAACACUGGAGCUUGUCAGUUCUUAAUACCAGAAGAUCUCAAAGAAAAAUUAAAACAAAACUCAGAAGCAAUUUGGGCUUCUUAGGCAAUAGGAAAAAGCUUCUAUGUACUCAGAAGACCCUAAGUUAACAAAGUCAGAAAUUUUAUCUUCUUCUCAUCAAUGCUUCCCUGGGACCCUUCCUGGAUUAAGAAGAGUAUGAUUUGGGUGAAAGAGUGCCUCUGCCUAGAGAGGCAGGCUGCUGCUAGGACCUCAAGUGGCGUCAUCCUUCUGGUCUCUACUUAUUGAGAAAGAGUGACAUCAUCUGUGUUUUUGACUUGAGCAAUUUUCCUUGAUAGAGUCUGUUCACUGCUUAAGAGUGUUAUGUGGUAACACCCGACAUGGUAACACCAAUACCAUCACCCCAGGAUUUAGAAAAUGAAUAGAAUGAUAGUUCUUCAAAUUUAAAUAGUUCACAAGAAAUAAUCUGGUGACAUCCUGACUUCACAGAUUCAUUCACUCACUUAUUCAUUCAGUUGGAAAGUCAUCCAAUUAUUAUUAAUCACCUGGUAUGUAUUAGAAACUGUUCUGGUCUAAUCUGGGGGGGGAGGACAAUGAUUAUAAUAAAGACAAUAUAACCUAUUAAGUAGAGAUACAAAAUUUUGGAAAGAUUCCAAGAGAAAGAUUCUUCCCCCCCCCAUUAAGUUUAUUGGUGCAAUUUUGGUAUAAAAUACAGUUACAUUCA